AGAGGAAGUAAAAGUCGUAACAAGGUUUCCGUAGGUGAACCUGCGGAAGGAUCAUUACUGAGGUAUGUUCGGUUGUCACGAAAGUGCACCGGUUACCCGCCCAUAUGUCAUCUGUGCUGAACCCCGCGGCCGGAAGGUCGGAGGGAACAGGAACAUCAUUUCGGUCGAGGUGUUGUGCUCCUCAUCACGAGGGACACGACCGCGGCCGGCCGUAUUUUACACUCUUGUGAGAAUAUGAAGUCUGAGUAAAAAUGAAAAAUUUAAGCAAAACUUUCAACAACGGAUCUCUUGGCUCUGGCAACGAUGAAGAACGCAGCGAAACGCGAAAGGUAAUGCGAAUUGCAGAAUCAGUGAGUCAUCGAAUCUUUGAACGCACAUUGCGCCUCUCGGUAUUCCGGGAGGCACGCCUGUUCGAGCGCCAUUACACACUCCAAGCGAAGCUUGAUGUUGGACGAUGCGGUCCCUUUUUUGGGGGAUUGCACGUCUGGAACGCGUGGGCGCCUGCCGCCGGACCACGAGCGUAGCAAGACAUUCGUCAAUUUCGUUCAGUGAGUUCCGACGGGGGGCGGCCUUAUUAUUUUCUGUCUCAGAAAGUUUGGCCUCGGAUCAGGCGGGGAUACCCGCUGAACUUAAGCAUAUCA
RNAcentral lists this ribosomal RNA (641 nucleotides) under Ascomycota sp. CkDB5. RNAcentral describes it as "eukaryotic LSU rRNA". The stretch from base 269 to 421 matches the Rfam family "5.8S ribosomal RNA". The record is from RNAcentral. Lineage: Eukaryota; Fungi; Ascomycota.